Molecule: long non-coding RNA, 1049 nt
Organism: Priapulus caudatus
Lineage: Eukaryota; Metazoa; Priapulida; Priapulimorpha; Priapulimorphida; Priapulidae
Exons: 2
Source: RefSeq, a predicted model, not a curated record
GGCGCUAAUGUUGUACAGCAACCACAAGGUGGCGCUAACCUUGCUCAGCAACCACAAGGUGGAGCUAACCUUGUUCAGCAACCACAAGGUGGCGUUUUAAGUGGCUCACAGAGCGUUGGGGGUGCUAAACUUGGACAGCAGCCACUAGAUGUCGCCAAGCUUGUACAGAAAUCGCAAGGUGGCGCUCUAGGCGGCUCACAGAACGGUGGUCAGUGAAUGUCCGAUAAUUCAUCAGCUCAACAGGUCAUCUCUGAUGUCCACGUCGACGCUGAGAAGUCAGUAAACACAUGAGCAGCCGUUAUGCAGACGUGACGCGUGUGACGUUAUAGGAAACUAUUUCACGUGACGCGUGUGACGUAAUGGGAAGCCAUCUCACGUGACGCGUGUGGCGUAAUGGGAAGCCAUCUCACGUGACGGAUUCACGAGAGAACAUACACGGCUAAAGCUUAGAGGAGGACCGGCAAGGCGGAAAGAGAGACAGACAGAGAAAGGGGAGAGAAAAACAGAUAUGAGACCAGUGUUUCUAUUUGUAGACGAGGUUUUAUUCGGUCUCUCACGAUGCCUGUGUUAUGAUGAUGCAGCAUGAUUAUGUGCCUGGGACGCAUUGAAUGGUGCGCAUGCGCAAUACGGGCGAUGCGAUUAUCAGUGUCCCUGUCAUGUCUGUCGGAUGGCUCCUCCUCCUCUGUGCCCAGAGGAAUCUAAUCUGGGAGCAGACCAAGGGGUGGGAAUGCAGAGAAGAUGUAAAGCUUAGCGUGUUUCACGUGAGCGGGGAUGCACACAUUUUAGUGGAGGAGUACAGUGCGAAGAGUGGAGUGUACAUAUUAUGCAUGUGUCUUUGUAUCGUCUCCGGGCAGUGCAUGGCGUUUUUUAACAGAGGUACCCAGCCUCCUUGGCUGGCGAAACUCGGCUUUAUUUAAAUCGAGUUGCAUCGUGGUGGAUGUGUAUUGCUUGAUUUGUCUGCCUUGCGUCUUGAAAGCAUGAAGUGUAAAACUUGCACGUAUGUCUUAGUAAAUAGUAUGUUAUUUGUUUAAAAAAAAUUACGAAACUCA